RNAcentral lists this non-coding RNA (506 nucleotides) under Arabidopsis thaliana (thale cress). The record is from RNAcentral. Lineage: Eukaryota; Viridiplantae; Streptophyta; Magnoliopsida; Brassicales; Brassicaceae.
GCUCUGCUUCGUUCUCUAUUCUUCCAUGUUAGAUUCCAGAUAUACAUUAGUCAUGAAUCGGACUUAUCAUGUCACAUAUAUAACAUAUAAACCCUCCAAAUGUUACUUUUAAUUCGAUGUUUAAUUUGUCUCAAAAUUAAUCACCUCGUUAAUUAGUCUUUCAUGCUUCAUAAGUUUUUUUUUUGUUUUUCUCAGUUAACUUCUUGUAAAUCUGAGAAACUUUCUUGGCUAUAGAUAUAAAACAAAACAGAAAAACUUUUUCGUUUUUUCUUUCACUUUGAACUUUUCGUUACAAAUUAGAAUCUAACAUCACUUUAUAAAAGUAUUAUUAUAUACUCUCUCUUUUCUUUUUUCUUAUUCCCCUUAUAAUCCAGAAAAUAGAACAAUUGUAUAAGGGAAUAUAUAUACACUUUUGGGUAACUAUAUCAAGCAAAUGUAAGAAGUGAAAUCACUUGGGCAAAAAGUGAGUUCGCUUAUUAAUAUUAUACCUUUGACCCUUCUAGUUA